This 589-nucleotide ribosomal RNA is filed under the name Lake Vida brine enrichment culture clone Enrichment_D2. RNAcentral's name for it is "bacterial SSU rRNA". It matches the Rfam family "Bacterial small subunit ribosomal RNA", at positions 17 to 599 of the family's 1533-position model. The record is from RNAcentral.
UCCUGGCUCAGAUUGAACGCUGGCGGCAGGCUUAACACAUGCAAGUCGAGCGGAAACGAUGGUAGCUUGCUACCAGGCGUCGAGCGGCGGACGGGUGAGUAACACUUAGGAAUCUACCUAGUAGUGGGGGAUAGCUCGGGGAAACUCGAAUUAAUACCGCAUACGACCUACGGGAGAAAGGGGGCAGUUUACUGCUCUCGCUAUUAGAUGAGCCUAAGUCGGAUUAGCUAGAUGGUGGGGUAAAGGCCUACCAUGGCGACGAUCUGUAGCUGGUCUGAGAGGAUGAUCAGCCACACCGGGACUGAGACACGGCCCGGACUCCUAUGGGAGGCAGCAGUGGGGAAUAUUGGACAAUGGGCGACAGCCUGAUCCAGCCAUGCCGCGUGUGUGAAGAAGGCCUUUUGGUUGUAAAGCACUUUAAGCAGUGAAGAAGACUCCAUGGUUAAUACCCAUGGACGAUGACAUUAGCUGCAGAAUAAGCACCGGCUAACUCUGUGCCAGCAGCCGCGGUAAUACAGAGGGUGCAAGCGUUAAUCGGAAUUACUGGGCGUAAAGCGAGCGUAGGUGGCUUGAUAAGUCAGAUGUGAAA